This 378-nucleotide unclassified non-coding RNA is filed under the name uncultured bacterium. RNAcentral describes it as "contains 16S-23S intergenic spacer region". The record is from RNAcentral.
UCGCGGCUUAUCACCGGCAGUCCCCUUAGAGUGCCCAACUGAAUGAUGGCAACUAAGGGCGAGGGUUGCGCUCGUUGCGGGACUUAACCCAACAUCUCACGGCACGAGCUGACGACAGCCAUGCAGCACCUGUCUCUGGGCUCCUUGCGGCACUCCCGAAUCUCUUCGGGAUUCCCAGGAUGUUAAGGCCAGGUAAGGUUCUUCGCGUUGCUUCGAAUUAAACCACAUGCUCCACCGCUUGUGCGGGCCCCCGUCAAUUCCUUUGAGUUUCAGCCUUGCGGCCGUACUCCCCAGGCGGGGCACUUACUGCGUUAGCGACGGCACCGGGAGGGUCGCUCCCCCCGACGCCUAGUGCCCAUCGUUUACGGCGUGGACUAC